GUAGCUCAGUGGUUGAGUACUUGCCUUGCAUGCAUGAGGCCCUGGGUUGGAUUCCUAGC
RNAcentral lists this transfer RNA (59 nucleotides) under Dipodomys ordii (Ord's kangaroo rat). It matches the Rfam family "tRNA", at positions 7 to 64 of the family's 71-position model. Rfam says of the family: Transfer RNA (tRNA) molecules are approximately 80 nucleotides in length. Their secondary structure includes four short double-helical elements and three loops (D, anti-codon, and T loops). Lineage: Eukaryota; Metazoa; Chordata; Mammalia; Rodentia; Heteromyidae. The record is from Rfam by way of RNAcentral.